Molecule: non-coding RNA, 405 nt
Organism: Nicotiana tabacum (common tobacco)
Lineage: Eukaryota; Viridiplantae; Streptophyta; Magnoliopsida; Solanales; Solanaceae
Source: RefSeq, a predicted model, not a curated record
AAAUAUUAGGGCUGUCUCCAGCAGCUGUGAGUCAAGACCUUGUCACGAAAACAUGACGGUGUGUUUUUAUUUGGGAAUUGCUAAGAUAACUGCAGUAAAAGCACAGACAGAGUUGAUGGAGUUCUUUCUUACCAAAUUGUUGUAGUCAUGUCAUGCUCUCAUGCUGGAAUCUCUUAUGCAGCUAGCAGAAAUGCCUAUCCUCUUAUGUCAUGCUCUCAUGCUGGACAAACAUAGACUCAUGCUUACUGUGAAGAAUUUUGUCAUGUUCAUCUUUUUCUGUAUGUUUCAUUUGGUCUUUCACUGUGAUAUCUAGAUGCCCUCUAUAAACAUCAUGCAUGUCUUUCUUAUGAAGUAAUAUAAUCUUAGAACCAGUCAAAGCACUAUUUCAUUUUUGUUUUUUUUAUA